This 28-nucleotide non-coding RNA is filed under the name Mus musculus (house mouse). Lineage: Eukaryota; Metazoa; Chordata; Mammalia; Rodentia; Muridae. The record is from RNAcentral.
UGAACAGGUCCUGGAAGCCAAAUGUUGC